GGAGGGUACAGCUCAGUGGUAGAGUGUGUGCUUAGCAUGCACAAGGUCCUGGGUUCAAUCCCCAGUACCUCCA
This 73-nucleotide transfer RNA is filed under the name Vicugna pacos (alpaca). RNAcentral's name for it is "tRNA-Ala (AGC) (tRNA-Ala-AGC-402-1)". It matches the Rfam family "tRNA". From Rfam's summary of the family: Transfer RNA (tRNA) molecules are approximately 80 nucleotides in length. Their secondary structure includes four short double-helical elements and three loops (D, anti-codon, and T loops). Further hydrogen bonds mediate the characteristic L-shaped molecular structure. tRNAs have two regions of fundamental functional importance: the anti-codon, which is responsible for specific mRNA codon recognition, and the 3' end, to which the tRNAs corresponding amino acid is attached (by aminoacyl-tRNA synthetases). tRNAs cope with the degeneracy of the genetic code in two manners: having more than one tRNA (with a specific anti-codon) for a particular amino acid; and 'wobble' base-pairing, i.e. permitting non-standard base-pairing at the 3rd anti-codon position. Lineage: Eukaryota; Metazoa; Chordata; Mammalia; Artiodactyla; Camelidae. The record is from RNAcentral.